Long non-coding RNA from Raphanus sativus (radish), 1700 nucleotides. RefSeq lists it as uncharacterized. The record is from RefSeq and is a predicted model, not a curated record. The transcript is spliced from 6 exons. NCBI's taxonomy places the organism in Eukaryota, Viridiplantae, Streptophyta, Magnoliopsida, Brassicales, Brassicaceae.
GUAAUACUGCUCUUCGACUUACCCUUCUUCGCACUUUAUAUAUCGAUACAAAGAACCACAGAAUAUGAACAGCUCAAUCUUGUGCGUUUUUUUUUCAUUGAGCAAUUCUUGAAUACACACGAACCUAGAAGUCUCUUUCUUUUUUCAGGGGCGUCCAUGACGAAUGAAGCUACAGGAGGCCCUUUGCCUCCGUAAUCUGUCUACGUCUCCUUCAUCAUCACUGUAGCUUUCUUCGGCGAACUGUAGAGAGCUAGAGACAAGAAUUGAUUGUUCUAGAGUUUUGGAGUCUCCACUUCCAUGAGUCAGUGAAGACCUGGCUGAUAGAUAAAAACCGUGAAGAUCUCCAAUAGGAACCCGAGCAUAGGAAGUCGUUGAAGUUGGACAUGAGGCAAAAUGACCAAAAGAAGUGUAGCAGUGGGUCACAAUAAGUAUAAGCAGAAGGAUGAGACAAUAAAGGCAGUAAGGACGGGGAGGGAUCACAAUCGAAGAACCAUCAAAAAAAAAAAGAGGAAGGGCAAACAAAACGGCCACCGUGGUUGAGAAACACAAAGUGUAUGAGAAUGUUAGCUAGAAGAGUUCCAAUUUAAUAAAUACAUGAAGCUGUGAUAUGGGGGUAUUCAUGAUCACAAUACAGAAGGUAAAUUCUUUGUAACUUUUGGAAGCUGUGGGGUUAUCACAAUCGUGUACUGCAAUUUGUUACCUGACCACUGCAGGAUUGGAUUCAUCGCCUUCCAAAUUCUUUAGAUGAAAUAAAGAUCAAAACCUCCCCAAGGUGGAUAGCUUCAGAAGCCUACCUAGCAAUGAUGACUUAGAGGGAGAUUACCAAGAUGACAUGAACUUAAAUGUUAACACAACUAAUAAUGUUAGUCUAGGAGGUUUAAAUGAUUCCAUCAGCGAAUCAGAUUGGAUGGAUGGUUCACAUCCCUGCUCAACUCAGUGAAUUAACUCAGUUCCUGCAACAAAGAAAAGCCACCGCGAUCAAACAUAGACUGGUGUAACUUGGACUCUACUUCUGAAUAUGUUCCACUUCAAGCAGAAAGCUAGAGCUGGAUAUGAUGUACAGUCCAAAUGCAAUUAUAUGAGGAUUCAAAACUUAUGAAAGUUUUCUCAUUCGUGAUCUUAAACGAAUGACAAAUAUGAGCUUCACGCGAAACAUCGAGUAGAACCGUGGCGAUGAUCAAGGGUUACGACACCACCAAUAAAUCAGGUCGACAUCAUGAAGGUCAGACCAAAAGCCAUCCCAAGAAUGGUGAUGUUAUCAGACAAGUUGGGAACUCAAAACUCCUUGGGCAAAAUCAAACUCAACUUACGUUACACUUUACUAUUUAAAGUGAUGACUCGAGUAAGACGGCAUCUAUGGUUAUAAGGUAUGCACAAGCGGAUGCUCUGUUUGUAUGGAACGGUCGUAGCAAAAUGCCUGAUUGUAACUGAAAAAAACAAACGCACAAGACGACAAGUUGGUGGCGAGUGAGAAUAAAAGUAUAUACAUACCCAAUAUAUAAAGUCCCAACUGUGCACCUGUGACAGAAACCAGAUUCUUUUCAGCACAUUCCGUUCAUGCGCUCAUCAAUACAAAUGUCGCGAAUAUUUUUAUAGUCUCACAAACAAUGAAAUGUCUGUUGGACAAACUGCCACGAGUAGUCAUAGUGAAAAAAGACGAAAAAAAUAUUGAGACAACAUAAUCAACUUCUCGAUAUCAU